Long non-coding RNA from Hippopotamus amphibius kiboko, 976 nucleotides. RefSeq lists it as uncharacterized. The record is from RefSeq and is a predicted model, not a curated record. Lineage: Eukaryota; Metazoa; Chordata; Mammalia; Artiodactyla; Hippopotamidae. The transcript is spliced from 4 exons.
CCCAGGGCACACACAGGACCACAGCACACCCGCAGGUUCUCCACCAAGUUCUGUAUAUGCAGGCCCCCAGCCGGGUAAGGAAGUGGAAUCCCAGGAUUAGAGACAGACCUGGAGGGAGUCUGGGCAUGGUCCACAUUGUACGAGGAAAUGAUUCCAUAUAGGAGCAGAGAGAUGCAAAAAUGCAUGAUGAGCAACAGAAACAGAACAUACGCACACUCAGCCCUUACUGGAAUGACCUUCAUAGCCUAACGCAACAGAAUCAGAUCUCUGAACUCUUCUCAGCCAUUCUGACAUCAGCCAGUGGGCUCCGGCCAUCCUGAGGCAUCAGAGGAUGUUUGGAAAGGCCAGGCUGCGGUGCAGGAGAUGAAAAAGGCUAAAGCAGAUGAAAGAGAGAACCAGAAGAGAGAGUUGGCUGGCUGACCCACUGCAUAUUUGGGGGAUUCCAGCUCCACCUAGCCAGAGACUGGGGGCUAGACACUACGUUUCCAGAGAGUUCCACAUACCACCCAGCAUCCGCCAAGCUGACGCAACGACUUGGAAGAUGAAGUAAGCAACAAGAGACUGGCCACUCGGCAGGACACGGCAUCUUCCAGAAGUCUGAUUGCAGAAGCAAUUGACUCUUCUCAGUAGCUGAAAUGGGAUUUUGAGAGCCUGGUGUCAUAGGUGUCAAGCAGGGGAUGGCGGCGGCUGUGGUAUUUUACUAGAGCAGUCCUGUGUGUUCUUGGGCAAUCCUGGCUGUGUGGCAGCCAAGAUCAUUUGCUGGUUUCCCGGGAGAUCCUGUAAGCAAACAAAUAUGAUUUUAAAAUCCCCUUUCUGAUUAAACUAACACGUACAGAGUUUGUCGUCUCCUGGUAAGAACUCUGUCCAACACAGGUGGCAAGCCCAGGGCAUGAAGAGUUACUGGAUAUGAAAAUACUUCAAAAAUAUUGUCCCCUUUAAACAUGUUCUCUGAAUGCAAGCCAAGUGAAUUUAUAAG